ACAUCCAGCGAACUUGGCAGAGAUGGCCUUUGGUGGCCUUCGGGGAACGCUGAGACAGGUGCUGCAUGGCUGUCGUCAGCUCGUGUUGUGAAAUGUUGGGUUAAGUCCCGNAACGAGCGCAACCCUUUAUCCUUUGUUGCCAGCGAUUCGGUCGGGAACUCAAAGGAGACUGCCGGUGAUAAACCGGAGGAAGGUGGGGAUGACGUCAAGUCAUCAUGGCCCUUACGAGUAGGGCUACACACGUGCUACAAUGGCGCAUACAAAGAGAAGCGACCUCGCGAGAGCAAGCGGACCUCAUAAAGUGCGUCGUAGUCCGGAUCGGAGUCUGCAACUCGACUCCGUGAAGUCGGAAUCGCUAGUAAUCGUGGAUCAGAAUGCCACGGUGAAUACGUUCCCGGGCCUUGUACACACCGCCCGUCACACCAUGGGAGUGGGUUGCAAAAGAAGUAGGUAGCUUAACCUUCGGGAGGGCGCUUACCACUUUGUGAUUCAUGACUGGGGUGAAGUCGUAACAAGGUAAGCGUAGCGAG
Molecule: ribosomal RNA, 530 nt
Filed under: uncultured bacterium
Lineage: Bacteria
Description: bacterial SSU rRNA
Rfam family: Bacterial small subunit ribosomal RNA
Source: RNAcentral